This 393-nucleotide ribosomal RNA is filed under the name uncultured bacterium. Its description in RNAcentral is "partial 16S ribosomal RNA". It matches the Rfam family "Bacterial small subunit ribosomal RNA", at positions 523 to 918 of the family's 1533-position model. The record is from RNAcentral.
AUACGUAGGUGGCAAGCGUUAUCCGGAUUUAUUGGGUUUAAAGGGAGCGUAGGCGGACGCUUAAGUCAGUUGUGAAAGUUUGCGGCUCAACCGUAAAAUUGCAGUUGAUACUGGGUGUCUUGAGUACAGUAGAGGCAGGCGGAAUUCGUGGUGUAGCGGUGAAAUGCUUAGAUAUCACGAAGAACUCCGAUUGCGAAGGCAGCCUGCUGGACUGUAACUGACGCUGAUGCUCGAAAGUGUGGGUAUCAAACAGGAUUAGAUACCCUGGUAGUCCACACAGUAAACGAUGAAUACUCGCUGUUUGCGAUAUACAGUAAGCGGCCAAGCGAAAGCGUUAAGUAUUCCACCUGGGGAGUACGCCGGCAACGGUGAAACUCAAAUGAAUUGACGGGG